UGGGGAAUAUUGCACAAUGGGCGCAAGCCUGAUGCAGCCAUGCCGCGUGUAUGAAGAAGGCCUUCGGGUUGUAAAGUACUUUCAGUCGGGAGGAAGGUGGUAAGGUUAAUAACCUUAUCAAUUGACGUUACCGACAGAAGAAGCACCGGCUAACUCCGUGCCAGCAGCCGCGGUAAUACGGAGGGUGCAAGCGUUAAUCGGAAUUACUGGGCGUAAAGCGCACGCAGGCGGUUGAUUGAGUCAGAUGUGAAAUCCCCGGGCUUAACCCGGGAAUUGCAUCUGAUACUGGUUAGCUAGAGUCUUGUAGAGGCGGGUAGAAUUCCAUGUGUAGCGGUGAAAUGCGUAGAGAUGUGGAGGAAUACCGGUGGCGAAGGCGGCCCCCUGGACAAAGACUGACGCUCAGGUGCGAAAGCGUGGGGAGCAAACAGG
RNAcentral lists this ribosomal RNA (429 nucleotides) under Chloroflexota bacterium. RNAcentral describes it as "Chloroflexi bacterium partial 16S ribosomal RNA". It matches the Rfam family "Bacterial small subunit ribosomal RNA", at positions 355 to 776 of the family's 1533-position model. Lineage: Bacteria; Bacillati; Chloroflexota. The record is from RNAcentral.